UCAAUUAAGUACGCUACCCACCGGGAGGAGAGUGAUCGAUUCUUUGUGUACACAUCGAGACCGACAGGAGAAUGGUAGUCGAGGCCGGAAGAAAUGGGCACGAGUUGGCUCCGUUGAACAACCACCGCCAAGUCCACAACGUGACGAUCGUGGCGGCCGGAAGUCAAAAUGUUACCGUCGGUCAGGAGACGAAGGAGGAAAACAGGGCGGCAUGGAGCGGGAAAAUGCAAUUCUUCCUCAGUAUUAUCGGGUACAGCGUCGGUCUGGGCAAUAUCUGGAGGUUUCCUUAUCUGUGCCAACAGAACGGAGGCGGUGCCUUCCUCCUUCCUUUUUUCGUGAUGCUCAUCUUGGAGGGUAUACCCCUCUUCCUGAUCGAGCUGGGUCUCGGACAACGUAUGCGGCAGGGCGCCCUGGGCGUUUGGAACACAAUACACCCUUGGCUAGGAGGUAUAGGAAUCGCGUCGUGUAUAGUGACGUUUUUCGUUUCGCUUUACUACAACGUAAUUAUUACCUGGUGCGUCUACUACCUCUUCAACUCGCUCGAGGCUAUCACGAUUAAAUUUGGUGAAUCACUGCCGUGGGCAAAAUGCCCGGAAUUGGAUGGAAAGCCGGUCGAGGAAUGUGUCAGGAGUUCGGAAACCGAAUAUUUUUGGUACAGGACUACUUUGGAUGCAGCACCGUCCAUUGAGGACGGCCAAGGUCUCAAAUGGUGGAUCGUACUCUGUCUCUUGCUCAGCUGGAUCGUCGUGUUUUUCAUCGUUAUGAAGGGAAUACAGUCGUCCGGCAAGGUGGUAUACUUUACGUCCAUGUUUCCGUAUCUCGUGCUAACCAUCUUCUUCAUCCGCGGGAUAACAUUGAAAGGUGCGGGCGCCGGACUGGCGCACAUGUACACGCCAAAGGUCGAGAAAUUGGCUGAACCAAUGGUCUGGCUUGAUGCGGCGACUCAGGUCUUCUAUAGCUUCGGACUGGCGUUCGGCUCCCUGAUCGCGUUCGGCAGCUACAACACUCCCAACAACAACUGCGUGAGGGACGUGAUCCUGGUGAGCGUGUGCAACGCGUUUACUGCCAUUUACGCGAGCGUUGUCAUUUUCGCCAUUUUGGGGUUCAAGGCAAUGUCAAACGUGGACAAGUGCGUUGUCAGCGCGAAGGAUACCCUGAUACAACAUGGAUUGCUGGGUAAUUCGACCCCAUUCGAGUUCGAACAAUACGAAAAAUUUAUGAACACCUUCAACUCUUCAAGCAUAAACAUCACAAUGAAAGAAUGCAGUCUCAGCACCGAAUUGGACAAAGCUGCCGAGGGCACCGGAUUGGCUUUCAUCAUAUUCACGCAGGCGAUCGUAGAAUUACCAGGCGCGCCGUUUUGGUCUUGCAUUUUCUUCAUGAUGCUUCUCGCCCUCGGCCUGGGCUCGCAAAUCGGAUUACUCGAGGGUAUGCUGUGCGUAAUCUUCGACAUAGAUCUCUUCAAGAGAAUAAAGAAGCAAUACAUGACAGGAGUUGUCUGCAUCAUAUGCUUUUUCGUGGGGCUCAUCUUCUGUACUGGCGCUGGAGAGUAUUGGCUGAAGAUGUUCGACAGUUUCGCCGGUACCAUCGGUCUCGUUAUAGUCGCCCUGAUGGAAAUGAUCUCCGUGGUCUACAUAUACGGUCACGAAAAAUUUACGAAGGACAUCGAAGAGAUGACCGGAUAUAAACCUGGGCUUUAUUGGCAAAUCACGUGGCGAUUUCUCGCUCCCUUAAUAAUGGCGGGCAUCCUUCUGUUUAGCGUCGGUUCCAUGUUCAUCACGAAACCGCAAUAUUCGGCAUGGAAUGCGACAACGGGUGAGGCAAAAAAAACGGAUUAUCCUGGCUGGGUGCUGGGCAUCGCCGGCAUUAUUAUUUUGGCGGGUAUUGCUCCGAUUCCGAUCGUUUACAUUUUACGUCGUUUCCAAUUGGUGAAACUCGACGUGGACAUACAUCAAGGCAGUAUUCGACGUAUCGACACUACCGUUUCUACUAAGGAGAUGAUGGGCGACGUUGAUUUGUAGGUAAGCAUCAAUUGAGUCUGUGGUAACGUCGAUUACUCGAUAUCCCCGUAGCUACGUUACACCUUGACGAAUAUCACGAUCGGCUCGAGGACUUCCCGGAAGAAGACGAAGACGUUAACAGCGACGAUGAUACAAACGCCGCACCGACUAUGAGUAAAUUAGCUAACAAAGCAAUGAAGGGUAGGGCCUUCAAAAUGGAAGUAAUGAACUUUUAAAAACGUAUAAUCAGCGAGACCUCUUCCGUUUGUUCGUGAGUUGUACGAUAAUAACAGAUAUCAGAUUAUAUAUAUAUAAAGACCCAAAAAGAUUUGCUAAAUUAUCUCUAGAAUUUGCGAGAUAAAUUUAUGCUCUCUAUUAUUAUAUAAAAAAGUAUACACACUAAUAAAAUAGUUAUUUUGUCUUACAGUCACAUGUAAACAUUCACGAAAAAUAGAUUUUAACAAAGAAUAAUAUAUAUACAUAUAAAUAUAAUUAUAUAUAUUUAUGUUUAUAAUUACAUUAUAACUCAUAAUGUAUAUAUUAUGUAUAUAUUAUUAUCUUGCUACCUUAUCUCUGAUUUGAAAAAUAGUUUUGCUAUAAAGACUCAGUUUAUUCAAGUUCUGGAUAAGAUUUAAAUUUUAUUUUAAGUCUUUAAUUUCUAUGUAAAGAUUUUACAAAUUUAGUCUUUAUAUAUCUAUAAUUAUUGAUACCUCUCAGGGCGCUGUGCGUCUUUAAAAUUGAACAUAUCGAGCAAAUGAACAACAAAUGAAUAGCGACCAAUGUUAUUUAAUACUCUUUUUAAUGUAUCUGGAGCAUUACGAAUGAAUGCAUCAAACGCGAAUCAAACAUCAACAAUGUAUAUUCAACACGAUUUAUAUCUCUUUUAAAAUUUAAUGAGGAAAGUUCGCGUCCUCUCAUUGUUCAUUUGCUCGAACGAUAGGGUACGUCGAUCGUUCUUCUCGUACAUUAUAUACGUAAAUCUGCGUUAAAUGGAUCUAGGGUAAACCGCGAAUUCACUGUAAAUCGAGCUCAAUCUGUCGGAUCGCGACACCACCAAAAGCAAUAUGUAAUACGGAAAUACAUUUUAGAGGUGUGGCGCAAAAGAGCGACCAACUGCGUAGCGACGGUUCAGUGUUCAAACUUUACCGUCGCGCAUCGACACUUCCAGGUAAAAUCGCGAAUUAUCAGGUGAAUCACGAUAGCGUAACGCGUAUAGCGGGCAAAAAAAUAGCGAAGAGAAUAGAAUGUUCUGGCUUUUUAGUAUCGUGUGAUAUGGAGACGAUCGGACGUGGGAUCCUGGAUUUCGUCCGUGUCAAUUCAAUUUUAAUUAAAUGCGAUUUUUUUAAAUAGAUCGGUAGUUUGAUCUACGAAGGAUGAGAGAGAGAGAGAGAGAGAGAGAGAGAGAGAGAGAGAGAUGGUCGAAGAGACUAGACAAUAAAAUUUAACGUAGUCGAAUUGUUAGCCCAACGUAGACGAUUUGUUUACUGCUUUCUACAUCGUCCCGGUGUAAUGUGUACUUUUGAUUCCUCCGAGGUUCUACCUUAUGCAUGUCAUGACUGUUCAGAGCUGAUCGAUCUUGUUUUCGAAGAUAUUCCAUAAGUAAUAUUUACUAAACAAAAUUACUUUUUUCAUUAAUUUCUGGAUUGUUAAUUCUUACAUUCUUUUCACUAUAAUUAACACAUUUUAAAAAAAGAAAAUUAUUUCUUUCUUUUAUAAGUACAUAAUAUGUGUCAUUUGAGUAUAAUAUUUCAGUUUGGAAAGCAUAAAUUUUCUUAUACGUCUGUAUAAUAUAAAAUAAUAUGCUAUUAAAAGUAUAUGUAUACAUUAUGUAUACAUUUUACAUUUUUAAUUUAAAACAUUAAUUAGUUUAGUAUCUCGUAUAAAAGAAUGGAAAAAGGAAAUACGAUCGAUUAAAUCAAUGUUAGCUAACGAUACGUUCGGCGCUCAGUUCGGCAAACGAUUACGUCAAACACGUGUAAAUUACGUUUUUAAUUGAUAAUUGGUUAAAUUACAUUACGCAAGAAAGUAAUUAUCCAUAUUAGUUUUAAAAUUGUCAUGAAAGUAAUGUAGUUUUCAUUUUUACUCAAAUACGCGGUCAUUAACACUAGGCUAUCAUUAAUUUAAAUGUUGUAGGAAACGUCGUAGAAGCGAUGUCUUAGAUUCUGUAUUGCUAAUUUCGCCAGAAAAGAAAAAAACCGAGAAUUCGCGCGGUGCCAUUAAGACAUUUCGAUAAGAUAUAUUACCGAUGCAGGACAUGCUGGUAGAAUUAAACUUGGCAUCGUGUUGCACGAGAUAUCCCGCGCUCGUUUCUCGCGAAUGCGCGCGGGAGUCUUCCGCUAUUGCAAGAAUGACAGAUCUCUUUCUUUCGAGAAGAGCAGUCCCUCGCGCGGGGCACUCAGCAUCGUUUGGCUGGUCCAGCUAUUUUGGGUACGGAAAUAUUAUACACAUAUACCGAUUUUCCGCGCUAGGACGGAUGAUCAACGUGGUGGUCGGUAUGCCAAGUCCCAUCCUCCGAGUCCUCGCCCUUGUGAGACAAUGUGAUGACAUAUUGAUGUUAAGAAAAACGUCGGUCGAAUAAACGUAAUGUCAAUAAUAAUUAAACAGAAAAAAAAAUGCGAUCCGGAAGUCACGCGUGCGAAUUCCUGUGCGUGGUGUUCCCUCAUUCUCGUAGAGACGCGAACCAAGCACGGGAAGGCGCGCCACCAUUGAUCAUCCUCUAUCUUACUUAUAUUGUACAUACUUUAAACUGCGAUCGAUUAAUCGCAGCGUUAAAUCAGCGGGAACGAGUACGCAGUACCGGGGACUAAUUCGCCGAGAGAAGGUCAAAUUAGUGAUCGGCGCUGUGCAAACGAGCGCGUCACAGCUUGCGCCGAGAUUGCAAGGAAGAUGGUACGCGAAAUGUAAAAUAAGAGCGAUCGGGAGAUCAUUAUAUUAAUGACAUUACGAAUUCGAUGAAACGAAUGCGUAACGCGUGUGUGCCAUUAUUGUAAAUAAUAACUCGUGUGGCGUGAUGUCACAAAUCGCAUCUAAAUUGAUACCUCGUGAGAUACCUAUUUUUUGAAUCGCUUAGAAUAUAAUGUCGACAUACAUCCGUUACCGAUUUACUUUCUUCCCUAUCUCCUAUGUGAAAGUACAUUGUCCUUCGCUUCGUGUACGAAGGACGUAAGUUUAUAGGAACUAUGUCAGAAGGUGACAUAUAUAAAUCGUUGCGCAAAUUAUUCUUUUUUUCUACAAAUAUAAGUUGUACGAUAAGCGAUAGUUAUGCACACCGUUCCGAAGAAAUUUACGAGAUAACGUUAACUAAAUGUAAAACGCGUGACGCAACAAAAGCGGAUUUUCGUUAAGCGCCAUAAUUUCAAAUUUGUUUAAAUUUUAAGAUUAUACCGUCCGAGAUCGUCCCUACGAUCAUCCCCGGUGUAAAAAAGUCGCAUCAUUUUUGUAUUAUUAAUUUUAUUUUUUAUAGCUUUAAACAGCGCGCGCUAUACGUAAUAUUUAUUAUUUUGAUGAUUGAGUAAAUUUUUUUAAUUUAAUUCAUUAUUUUUUUAUUAUAAUUAGAAAGAUACAAAACUAAUUAAUAAAUAACAUAACACGUGAUUAAUUACUAUUUGGAUUUAUCUAGAUAGUAAUUAAUUACGAUGCAACUUAUAUGAUUGCAAAUGAAAAUAUUGGAAUGAGGAAUUAGCAGAAGAAAUGUUACUUUUCCUCAUUAUAAAGAAAAACGUUAAAUUCUAUUUGAUUAAACCUUUUCUUUGAUCAAAAAGUUUUUGUUCGUUAUGCAAAAGAAGAGAUAUUUUUUUCUGCUUCGGAAAGCCUCGAGGAAACCUUUUUUUUAUUUUAAGAAACUGAGAAGUAUUUUUGUAUAUUGCUUUAAAUCAAAGUAAUUAAUACAGCGUACAUUGAUUAUUAGCACAGAGUAGGGUAUCUCAGACCCCACAAUUUAAACUUAACUUUUUAAUUCUCGUUUGAGCAGAAUGAACAAAAAAUUAAAAUUAAUCUUGAUACAAUAAUUUCCUAUGUUUUUAUGUUCCUAAAUAUUCUUUCAUUAGAAAACUAAUGAAAGUAAUUAGGUCCAACAUUAGGUUCAAGAUAACCACUAGAAAAAACAUCUGAAAAGAAAUUUGUAUGUGUGUGUAUGAGUGAGAGAGAAAGAUCAUCACUAUAAUUGUGUCAACUUCUUCCACGUCACUCGUUAAGAAUUAAGGAUUUGCAAUCGUCAAUGCGACAUUCCUUCUUCUCGAAUCGAACUCUCCGCGCAUAUAUGUAAACUUAAAUUGUAAACAAAACCAUCUUCGACAAUUUAACAAUUGAGGAAUUUAAAUACAACGGUUCUUGGCCUAUCUUCUUAUCAAAACAUUCAAAUGGCACCGUAAACACAGAGAACACACGCUUGUCCUCUCGUUUCAGUAUUUAUUCGAGUUUCGCUUUAUGUCCGACGCGCUCGGUAAUUCCUCGAAGUGAUAUAUGUACAUAUAGUUAUAAAUGAUAUAAUUAAUGUUGGAUAGUUCUAUCUGGAGAUCUUAUAAUCAGAGUGACCAUAAGAUAGCCACUUGGUUUACCCAAUUUCGAGAGAGAGAAAGACAAGACAAAAAUAAAAAAAAGAUUAAAGAGAAACAGCUAGUAUUCUCUCUCUCUCACAUAAUCUUGAUCACCUUAUGGUCAAACUCUGAUUAUAGGUCUCUAGGUCUGUCUUAGGUUGCUGAAGUUCAGUUAACGUGCACACUCCUCAUCGGAAAAGUAAGAGUCUCUAUCCUGCGAAAUUUCCCUAAGUUACAUGUAACUAUUAAGAAAACGCGCGAGUGUAACGUAUUUCGUUUAUUAGGUUUAUACGUAAUGAUAACAACUUUAGUUAGACGAGAUCGAUUUCGAUAGUAAACGAGUACUUCCGAUUAUAUUUAAUUGCUCGACACACUAUGUAUGUUUUUUUUUUAUAGUGCGCGGAUGCUCAAAUUGUAAUUUGUCCUCAAACUUGAGCAUUAUCGACUAAAUACUUUUAGCGACUGAUACUUUAGACGUUUACUAGGACACAGUGUACACAGGAUUCAAAGCGUUUAAAUAAAAAGCUUAUUUAUUGCCGAAAAA
RNA transcript from Solenopsis invicta (red fire ant), 7079 nucleotides. It is a transcript of the gene named sodium- and chloride-dependent transporter XTRP3, with no coding region annotated. The record is from RefSeq and is a predicted model, not a curated record. NCBI's taxonomy places the organism in Eukaryota, Metazoa, Arthropoda, Insecta, Hymenoptera, Formicidae. The transcript is spliced from 13 exons.